RNAcentral lists this transfer RNA (68 nucleotides) under Marmota monax (woodchuck). RNAcentral describes it as "tRNA.Ala". The record is from RNAcentral. Lineage: Eukaryota; Metazoa; Chordata; Mammalia; Rodentia; Sciuridae.
GUUGUGGCUCAGUGGUAGAGCACUCGCCUAGCAUGUGCGAGGCCCUGGGUUUGAUCCUCGGCACUACA